GGAUUAAUCUAAGCUUCUGCUGUGUAUGGACCUGUGGCUACAUUACAAAAUUCAGUUGUGAAGCUAUAAAAUCAAUUAGUCUAGACCUCAAAUCUUAUUUCCUAUGAAAAGGCUCAAACUUGUAGCUGUAUGAACAAGUGUUUUUGGAAUUUUUUUUUUUUUUUUUGCUAGAAUGGAGAGAACACACUGGAGAUCACAAAUGCAUUUAUUCUUUUUCACCAACUGUUUCAUUGGCCUUAAAAAAUACUAGGCUAAACUUAAGUGGUAAAGAUCUGAAAUAAAAAGAUUCAUCUUUAUGUCUGAACAGCAAUUUUUCAUAGGUCUCUAAUAUCUUGCAUUUCCUUAUCUAUGGAUAAGGAGAUCUGAAAUUGAUCUACAUUUUCUUUAGUAAUGUUUUCUCUGUUUAUUGAGAACAGAUAUCUUCAUCUCCUUCAUGCAUUAUCCUUAGUAACAGAUGUCAGUAGGAUCCAGAGCCAUUUUGGAACUUUACCAAGGAUUAAGGAUGAGCACAGAUCACAUCAAGAGUCUAAAUAUCACUUUGGAGGCUAUGUGCAGAUCAGAUUUGGAAGUGACCAAGACUGGAGGCAGGGACACCAGAGUUUUCUGUUAAAAACUGGUCCAUGCAAGAAAAGAUGACUCCUGAAAUAAGACAGUGAUCAUUAGGAUGAAGAGGAAGAGAAGAUUUGAGGAAUACUUAGAACAGAAUUUACUGAAUUUACUGGUUGAAUUGAAUGUGAAGAGGAGAUGAAUAAAGAAGAAAACACCCUCAAAGGGAACCCUGAGCAGAACACAUGCACAAACUCAUGCCAUACCCUAAGGGACAAGGUUCCCCACAUCUACUUGGAAAUCUUCGGGAUGCUCAAUGGAGAAAAACAAGGAGAGAAAAAUCUAAACCCAGCAGAAGAGAAAGUUUAAGAAAGCGGUCGUCGCCAAUACCAAAAUUAGCUAUGAUAUUCAGGAAGAAAAAAAUGGAAACACGAUAACCACAUUCAAUAAAGACCAAGGCCGGAUUCCAUUGGCCAGAGCUCAGCCACGCGCCACACCUGGCUAAAGAGACUCUGGCUGAAGAAUUCCCUGAAUAUUUUAAUGUAGCUCUAGGUUAUAACACAGAACAACCACAAGGUGGCAGAAGAACUCCAUUCUUGUAAAUCUCUUAGUUGCUUCUUUAUUUCAUCUUCCCUAUUCCAUCUAAUGUUCCCUGAAUUUUACUAUUUUGUUGGUUUGAAAAUAUGUGUGACUUACGUCCUUUAAAGGAUUUGGUUCCUAAGGUUUUGAAUAGACUGGAAUAUAAAACAUUUAUAGAAAAGAAAAAUACCUACAGUAUGAUGUUAGUGAACUAUUAAUAAUUAAUCCAAUUAAAUAAAAUAUAUUUGCUUUGGAUUAAUACA
This 1388-nucleotide long non-coding RNA is filed under the name Pan troglodytes (chimpanzee). Its description in RNAcentral is "lincRNA". The record is from RNAcentral. Lineage: Eukaryota; Metazoa; Chordata; Mammalia; Primates; Hominidae.